GAUGAACGCUGGCGGCGUGCCUAAUACAUGCAAGUCGAGCGAACAGAUAAGGAGCUUGCUCCUUUGACGUUAGCGGCGGACGGGUGAGUAACACGUGGGUAACCUACCUAUAAGACUGGGAUAACUUCGGGAAACCGGAGCUAAUACCGGAUAAUAUUUCGAACCGCAUGGUUCGAUAGUGAAAGAUGGUUUUGCUAUCACUUAUAGAUGGACCCGCGCCGUAUUAGCUAGUUGGUAAGGUAACGGCUUACCAAGGCGACGAUACGUAGCCGACCUGAGAGGGUGAUCGGCAACACUGGAACUGAACCACGGCCCAGACUCCGAGGGGAGGCAGCAGUAGGGAAUCUUCCGCAAGGGGCGAAAGCCUGACGGAGCACCGCGGCGGGAGUGAGAAAGGUCUCCGGAUCGUAAAACUUUUUUAUGGGGGAAAAACAUACGUGAAAGAACUUGGGCGCGUCUUGACGGUACCUAAUCAAAAAGCCCCGGCAAACUACGUG
Molecule: ribosomal RNA, 497 nt
Filed under: uncultured bacterium
Lineage: Bacteria
Description: partial 16S ribosomal RNA
Rfam family: Bacterial small subunit ribosomal RNA
Source: RNAcentral